RNAcentral lists this ribosomal RNA (354 nucleotides) under uncultured bacterium. Its description in RNAcentral is "bacterial SSU rRNA". It matches the Rfam family "Archaeal small subunit ribosomal RNA", at positions 725 to 1077 of the family's 1478-position model. The record is from RNAcentral.
AGUAAAUAGAUACCCCGGUAGUCCCAGCCGUAAACGAUGCUCGCUAGGUGUCAGGCAUGGCGCGACCGUGUCUGGUGCCGCAGGGAAGCCGUGAAGCGAGCCACCUGGGAAGUACGGCCGCAAGGCUGAAACUUAAAGGAAUUGGCGGGGGAGCACAACAACGGGUGGAGCCUGCGGUUUAAUUGGACUCAACGCCGGACAACUCACCGGGGGCGACAGCAAUAUGUAGGCCAAGCUGAAGACUUUGCCUGAAUCGCUGAGAGGAGGUGCAUGGCCGUCGCCAGUUCGUACUGUGAAGCAUCCUGUUAAGUCAGGCAACGAGCGAGACCCGUGCCCACUGUUACCAGCAUGUCC